RNAcentral lists this ribosomal RNA (465 nucleotides) under uncultured bacterium. Its description in RNAcentral is "partial 16S ribosomal RNA". It matches the Rfam family "Bacterial small subunit ribosomal RNA", at positions 28 to 507 of the family's 1533-position model. The record is from RNAcentral.
GACGAACGCUGGCGGCGUGCUUAACACAUGCAAGUCGAACGGAAAGGCCCCAGCUUGCUGGGGUGCUCGAGUGGCGAACGGGUGAGUAACACGUGGGUGAUCUGCCCUGCACUCUGGGAUAAGCCUGGGAAACUGGGUCUAAUACCGGAUAGGACCGUGCGCUAGUGUGUGCGGUGGAGAGAUUUUCGGUGCAGGAUGAGCCCGCGGCCUCUCAGCUUGUUGGUGGGGUAAUGGCCUACCAAGGCGGCGACGGGUAGCCGGCCUGAGAGGGUGUACGGCCACAUUGGGACUGAGACACGGCCCAGACUCCUACGGGAGGCAGCAGUGGGGAAUAUUGCACAAUGGGCGCAAGCCUGAUGCAGCGACGCCGCGUGGGGGAUGACGGCCUUCGGGUUGUAAACCCCUUUCGGCAGGGACGAAGCUUUUGUGACGGUACCUGCAUAAGAAGCACCGGCUAACUACGUG